This 118-nucleotide ribosomal RNA is filed under the name Bacillus paralicheniformis. RNAcentral describes it as "partial 16S ribosomal RNA". It matches the Rfam family "Bacterial small subunit ribosomal RNA", at positions 1416 to 1533 of the family's 1533-position model. Lineage: Bacteria; Bacillati; Bacillota; Bacilli; Caryophanales; Bacillaceae. The record is from RNAcentral.
AACACCCGAAGUCGGUGAGGUAACCUUUUGGAGCCAGCCGCCGAAGGUGGGACAGAUGAUUGGGGUGAAGUCGUAACAAGGUAGCCGUAUCGGAAGGUGCGGCUGGAUCACCUCCUUU